This 67-nucleotide transfer RNA is filed under the name Castor fiber subsp. birulai. RNAcentral's name for it is "tRNA-Cys". It matches the Rfam family "tRNA". Rfam says of the family: Transfer RNA (tRNA) molecules are approximately 80 nucleotides in length. Lineage: Eukaryota; Metazoa; Chordata; Mammalia; Rodentia; Castoridae. The record is from RNAcentral.
GGCUUCGAGGUGAUGAAUCACGUUGAAUUGCAAAUUCAGAAGAGCAGCUUCAACUCUGCCGGGGCCU